GCCAUCUAUCGGGGGUACACCUGUAAUCCCAGCUACUCGGGAGGCUGAGGCAGGAGGAUCGCUUGAGUCCAGGAGUUCUAGGCUGUAGUGUGCUGUGCCGUUCAAGUGUCUACACUGAGUUCGGCAUCAGUAUGGUGACCUUCGGGGGAGGGAGAACACCAGGUUGCCUAAGGAGGGGUGAACCGGCCCAGGUGGGAGACUGAGCAGGUCAACCUAAAACAGGCACAGUCCGGGGCUGAACCCUCCUGAGGCGGGCUUAACAAGGCCUGAGCAAAGAACUCUGGUUGCC
This 289-nucleotide non-coding RNA is filed under the name Mesocricetus auratus (golden hamster). Lineage: Eukaryota; Metazoa; Chordata; Mammalia; Rodentia; Cricetidae. The record is from RNAcentral.